AAGCUCGUAGUUGAAUUUCGGGCCUGGCUGGACGGUCCGCCCUUCGGGUGAGUACUGUCUGUGGUCGGGUCCUACCUUCUGGCGAAGCGUCAUGGCCUUAACCGGCCGUGGCGGGGAACCAGGACUUUUACUGUGAAAAAAUUAGAGUGUUCAAAGCAGGCAAUCGCUUGGAUACAUUAGCAUGGAAUAAUGGAAUAAGACAAUGGUUCUAUUUGUUGGUUUCUAGGACCGUUGUAAUGAUUAAUAGGGAUAGUUGGGGGCAUUAGUAUUCAAUUGUCAGAGGUGAAAUUCUUGGAUUUAUUGAAGACUAACUACUGCGAAAGCAUUUGCCAAGGAUGUUUUCAUUAAUCAAGAACGAAAGUUAGGGGAUCGAAGACGAUCAGAUACCGUCGUAGUCUUAACCAUAAACUAUGCCGACUAGGAAUCGGGCGAUGUUGAAAAAAUGACGCGCUCGGCACCUCAUGGGAAACCAAAGUGUUUGGGUUCCGGGGGGAGUAUGGUCGCAAGGCUGAAACUUAAAGGAAUUGACGGAAGGGCACCACCAGGGGUGGAGCCUGCGGCUUAAUUUGACUCAACACGGGGAAACUCACCAGGUCCAGACAUAGUAAGGAUUGACAGAUUGAGAGCUCUUUCUUGAUUCUAUGGGUG
This 648-nucleotide ribosomal RNA is filed under the name uncultured Paraglomus. Its description in RNAcentral is "SSU rRNA". It matches the Rfam family "Eukaryotic small subunit ribosomal RNA", at positions 624 to 1276 of the family's 1831-position model. The record is from RNAcentral. Lineage: Eukaryota; Fungi; Glomeromycota; Glomeromycetes; Paraglomerales; Paraglomeraceae.